RNAcentral lists this ribosomal RNA (466 nucleotides) under Ovis aries (sheep). RNAcentral describes it as "partial 12S ribosomal RNA". The record is from RNAcentral. Lineage: Eukaryota; Metazoa; Chordata; Mammalia; Artiodactyla; Bovidae.
AUAGGUUUGGUCCCAGCCUUCCUGUUAACUUUCAAUAGACUUAUACAUGCAAGCAUCCACGCCCCGGUGAGUAACGCCCUUCGAAACACACAGGACUAAAAGGAGCAGGUAUCAAGCACACACUCUUGUAGCUCACAACGCCUUGCUUAACCACACCCCCACGGGAGACAGCAGUAACAAAAAUUAAGCCAUAAACGAAAGUUUGACUAAGCCAUAUUGACCAGGGUUGGUAAAUCUCGUGCCAGCCACCGCGGUCAUACGAUUGACCCAAGCUAACAGGAGUACGGCGUAAAGCGUGUUAAAGCAUCAUACUAAAUAGAGUUAAAUUUUAAUUAAACUGUAAAAAGCCAUAAUUAUAACAAAAAUAAAUGACGAAAGUAACCCUACAAUAGCUGAUACACCAUAGCUAAGACCCAAACUGGGAUUAGAUACCCCACUAUGCUUAGCCCUAAACACAAAUAAUUAU